RNAcentral lists this non-coding RNA (1479 nucleotides) under Pongo abelii (Sumatran orangutan). Lineage: Eukaryota; Metazoa; Chordata; Mammalia; Primates; Hominidae. The record is from RNAcentral.
AAAAGCACACACCAGGCGGGAAAGGAGAGAGAAGGAAAAACCCACUCCUAGCCACACAAUGGUGGAUCUUAAUAUCCAAUGAAAAGAAAAAAUUCUAAUGUAGGUCACACGCAAUAGAUAACCCAAUAUAAAAUGAACAAGACGUGAUCAAGCAAAUCAAAGAAAAAUGUACAUCAAUAAAUAUGUUAAGACAUGUUCAAUGUUACCGGUGAUCAAGGAAUUUCAAAUCAAGAUCAAAAUGGUAUACCAUUUACAGCCAUCCCUCUGGCAAAAAUUAAAUACCAAGUGUCAGACAUGAGAUGGCUCAGAGCUCUCCUGUGUUGCUAGUGAAAUGUUAACUGGUUCAACAACUAUGUAAGUCAGCAGGACAUUAUGUCCUAAAAUUGAACAUUCGUGUGCCCUAUGACCUAGUUAUUCCACUCAGGUCUAUACAAAAGAGAAAACCAUGCACAUAUGGAACAUGCACAGCAGAAAACGUGAAAGAAUAUCCCAUGCUCUUCAGAAGAGCAAAAACCUGGAAAUGACCAAAGGCCCAUCAACAGAAGAGUGGAUAAAUUAACUUCGGCAGAUCCACACAAUAAAAUAUCACAGCAGUCAGAAGGAAUAAACCACAGUGAAAAACAACAAUAUGGUUGAUUUUUAGUAAUAUUACUGUUAUCACUUAAGUCCCAAAAAGUUACACAUAGGAAGAUAAGUUAGUUGCAUACACACAGAUUUUUUUUUGGAAAUUAGAUACAGAAGAAAAAAUUAAUACAAGAUGGGAGCUAAUGAUUACUUCUAGUGAAAAGUGAAAGAGGGAAAAGUAAAACAGUGGUUACUGCCAAGAUCCUAGAUUUUUGUUGGAAACAGUGCUCGCUACAUUAUACAAAACAACUAAUUUUUUAAAAGGAAAAAGGUUAGUCCAUGGAUUAACACAUGGCUCACUGUACGUGCCAUGAGCUCGGGAUGAUAGCUGAUCCAAUCCCAUAUACACCUGAAGUCUUGGGGCAGGGGCGGACCACAAGUCAGCGCUGCCCCCACAACACCAGGCUGAUGGCCCGGUGAUUCUUCUGCCUGUGUGCAAAAGUCGGCCAGGACCAUCCUUCUCCAUCUGCAACACCCAGGGUCUUUUCUAAAACUUUUGCCCAGUCGGCUCAGCCAAAAGGACACAGAAGCCCUGCAGAGGCUCUGAAACCAAGCUGCCAUGGCUUCCAGUUUGAGAUCAUGUCACCGGAGCCUGCACAGAUGAACCAAGCUUGCAACACGGGAGGAACCUAAGCGCUGGACUGAGGAGCGGGACUGAAAUAAGAAGCGCACACCACAUGGCAAGAUCCAGGAUCCAAUCAGAUAGAGCCCUGGUGUCAUUUAAUUGCAAGAUCCAAUCAGAACACACUUCAUUACCAGUAUUGCCAGACUAUCAGGAGAGACCAUAAAUCAAAUAAAAACAUGAGUUGUAUCCAAAACUCAACCAGGUAUCAUCUUAAAUAUCCAACAGAAUUC